Molecule: microRNA precursor, 89 nt
Filed under: Pelobates cultripes (western spadefoot toad)
Lineage: Eukaryota; Metazoa; Chordata; Amphibia; Anura; Pelobatidae
Source: RNAcentral
CUCCAGAUGUUGCUGAACUACAACUCCCAUGACUCUCAGCCUAUUUCAUUAAUAUAUUCAUGGGAGUUGUAGUUCAGCAACAUCUGGAG